AAACUUUCAGCAAUGGAUCUCUUGGCUCUCGCAUCGAUGAAGAACGCAGCAAAGCGCGAAAUGUAGUGUGAAUUGCAGAAUUCAGUGAAUCAUCGAAUCUUUGAACGCAUCUUGCACUCUUUGGUUAUUCCGGAGAGUAUGCUUGUUUGAGUGUCACGA
RNAcentral lists this ribosomal RNA (159 nucleotides) under Jianyunia sakaguchii. RNAcentral's name for it is "5.8S rRNA". It matches the Rfam family "5.8S ribosomal RNA". Rfam says of the family: 5.8S ribosomal RNA (5.8S rRNA) is a component of the large subunit of the eukaryotic ribosome. It is transcribed by RNA polymerase I as part of the 45S precursor that also contains 18S and 28S rRNA. Functionally, it is thought that 5.8S rRNA may be involved in ribosome translocation. The record is from RNAcentral. Lineage: Eukaryota; Fungi; Basidiomycota; Agaricostilbomycetes; Agaricostilbales; Jianyuniaceae.